GAAAAAGGAAAACCCGAGGUCCUUCACUCCUCCUGGCCACUGGAGCGGUGUGUUGCCUGCACCUCUUUUAGACUUUUCUUCUGUGUGGAGAAACCCGACUGCUCCUCUGCGUCCCACACCCGGUGGGACUUCAUCAACAGGUCGGCCAAGACCUGCCCUGUGAGGCCCCUCUUUGCCUUGAAGAUUUCAAUGAGCCUGGGACUGUGUUGAUCAAGGGCCUCAUAGAACUCUUGUUUCAGGCUUUUACCAACAACCCUACUGAACUCCAGACACACCUCAAACAUGUAAAAAAAAUAAAAAUAAAUAAAUUAAAACAUG
This is a long non-coding RNA of Seriola aureovittata, 318 nucleotides long. RefSeq lists it as uncharacterized. The transcript has 2 exons. The record is from RefSeq and is a predicted model, not a curated record. NCBI's taxonomy places the organism in Eukaryota, Metazoa, Chordata, Actinopteri, Carangiformes, Carangidae.